AACUGACGCUGAGAUUCGAAAGCGUGGGUAGCAAACAGGAUUAGAUACCCUGGUAGUCCACGCUGUAAACGAUGGAUGCUUGUCGUUGGGAGUGUUAACCCUUUCAGUGACGAAGCUAACGCGUUAAGCAUCCCGCCUGGGGAGUACGGUCGCAAGAUUAAAACUCAAAGAAAUUGACGGGGACCCGCACAAGCAGUGGAGCAUGUGGUUCAAUUCGACGCAACGCGAAGAACCUUAUCCUGGUCUUGACAUCCUCUGACCGCCAGCGAAAGUUGGUUUUCACCUUCGGGUGACAGAGAGACAGGUGCUGCAUGGCUGUCGUCAGCUCGUGUCGUGAGAUGUUGGGUUAAGUCCCGUAACGAGCGCAACCCACGCCUCUUGUUGCCAUCAUUAAGUUGGGCACUCUAGAGGGACUGCUAGCGUUAAGCUGGAGGAAGGUGUGGAUGACGUCAAGUCCUCAUGGCCCUUAUGACCAGGGCUACACACGUGCUACAAUGCAGAGUACAAAGGGCCGCGAAGUGGUGACACGGAGCCAAUCCCAAAAAACUCUGCUCAGUUCGGAUUGUAGUCUGCAACUCGACUACAUGAAGCUGGAAUUGCUAGUAAUCACAGAUCAGCAUGCUGUGGUGAAUACGUUCCCGGGUCUUGUACACACCGCCCGUCACACCACGAAAGUUGUUUGCACCAGAAGUCGCUGAGCUAACCGCAAGGAGGCAAGCGCCCAAGGUGUGUGCAAUGAUUGGGGUGAAGUCGUAACAAGGUAACCAAGGG
This 771-nucleotide ribosomal RNA is filed under the name uncultured bacterium. Its description in RNAcentral is "bacterial SSU rRNA". It matches the Rfam family "Bacterial small subunit ribosomal RNA", at positions 738 to 1506 of the family's 1533-position model. The record is from RNAcentral.